AUAUAAAUUAAUAAGGUUUAGUGAAAGAAUUAAUUAAUUUUUAGUUUAAGUAAAAAUACUUAAAUAUAUUUAAGGGACGAUAAGACCCUAAAAUCUUGAAUUAGAGAAAGUAAAAUUUUUAUUGGUUAAGUUUUUUAUUUGUUUAGUGGUUUUAGCUGGGGUAGUUUUUUUAUGGGGAUUAAUAUUAGAUAUUACUAUUAGGUUUAAAGGUCCUUUUCAUAAGGAAUAGUAGAAUUAGUUACUUUAGGGGUAACAGCGUAAUAUUUUUAGAGAGUUCAUAUUUAUAAAUAAUGAUUGCGACCUCGAUGUUGAAUUAAAUAAGCUUUAUAGGGCAGAAUAUAUAAAGUAAAGGUUUGUUCAACCUUUAGUAUUUUACAUGAUUU
This 383-nucleotide ribosomal RNA is filed under the name Rhachotropis sp. BOLD:ADF8057. RNAcentral describes it as "partial 16S ribosomal RNA". The record is from RNAcentral. Lineage: Eukaryota; Metazoa; Arthropoda; Malacostraca; Amphipoda; Eusiridae.